RNAcentral lists this ribosomal RNA (301 nucleotides) under uncultured bacterium. RNAcentral describes it as "partial 16S ribosomal RNA". It matches the Rfam family "Bacterial small subunit ribosomal RNA", at positions 510 to 809 of the family's 1533-position model. The record is from RNAcentral.
AGUCGCCACGGGAAUACGUAGGUCCCGAGCGUUGUCCGGAAUUAUUGGGCGUAAAGCGCGCGCAGGUGGUUUAAUAAGUCUGAUGUGAAAGCCCACGGCUCAACCGUGGAGGGUCAUUGGAAACUGUUAAACUUGAGUGCAGGAGAGAAAAGUGGAAUUCCUAGUGUAGCGGUGAAAUGCGUAGAGAUUAGGAGGAACACCAGUGGCGAAGGCGGCUUUUUGGCCUGUAACUGACACUGAGGCGCGAAAGCGUGGGGAGCAAACAGGAUUAGAGCCCCAGUAGUCCCUGUCUCUUAUACAC